UACGAAGGGGGCUAGCGUUGCUCGGAAUCACUGGGCGUAAAGCGCACGUAGGCGGAUUCCUAAGUCGGGGGUGAAAUCCUGGAGCUCAACUCCAGAUCUGCCUUCGAUACUGGGAAUCUUGAGUCCGGAAGAGGUGAGUGGAACUGCGAGUGUAGAGGUGAAAUUCGUAGAUAUUCGCAAGAACACCAGUGGCGAAGGCGGCUCACUGGUCCGGUACUGACGCUGAGGUGCGAAAGCGUGGGGAGCAAACAGG
Molecule: ribosomal RNA, 253 nt
Filed under: uncultured bacterium
Lineage: Bacteria
Description: partial 16S ribosomal RNA
Rfam family: Bacterial small subunit ribosomal RNA
Source: RNAcentral